Molecule: non-coding RNA, 22 nt
Filed under: Arabidopsis thaliana (thale cress)
Lineage: Eukaryota; Viridiplantae; Streptophyta; Magnoliopsida; Brassicales; Brassicaceae
Source: RNAcentral
GGACUGGAUAGGACUAGGUGGG